AAAGUCGUAACAAGGUUUCCGUAGGUGAACCUGCGGAAGGAUCAUUAUGAAUUUGAAGAUGCGAGCGAGUCUUAAUUGACUUGUUUCCGCUUCUUUUUUUUCUGUGAACUGUGUUAUUGUGUGAAGCUGAAGCUCCCCAAGUUUACUUGAAGCGGAAGUGAAGCAGAGUAGCAAAUUUGUAUUCUUGUAAUCUUAUUCCAUCUUUUUUUUUGAUUCUGAUUCAUUAGCCUUUGCGGCGAAUUGAAUACGAAACAAGAAAAAAAAAAAACCAAGACAACUUUCAGCAAUGGAUCUCUUGGCUCUU
Molecule: unclassified non-coding RNA, 304 nt
Filed under: Basidiomycota sp.
Lineage: Eukaryota; Fungi; Basidiomycota
Description: partial contains small subunit ribosomal RNA, internal transcribed spacer 1, and 5.8S ribosomal RNA
Rfam family: Eukaryotic small subunit ribosomal RNA (bases 1-47)
Source: RNAcentral